GUGAGGAAUUUUCCGCAAUGGGCGAAAGCCUGACGGAGCAAUGCCGCGUGAAGGAUGAAGGCCUAUGGGUUGUAAACUUCUUGUCUCAGAAAAGAAUUAUGACGGUAUCUGAGGAAUAAGCAUCGGCUAACUCUGUGCCAGCAGCCGCGGUAAGACAGAGGAUGCAAGCGUUAUACGGAAUGAUUGGGCGUAAAGCGUCUGUAGGUUGUUUAAAAAGUAUUCUGUCAACGAUUAGGGCUUAACCCUAGAUAGGCAGAAUAAACUUUUAAGCUAGAGUUUGGUAGAAGCAGAGGGAAUUCCCGGUGGAGCGGUGAAAUGCGUAGAUAUCGGGAGGAACACCAAAGGCGAAGGCACUCUGCUGGGCCAAUACUAACACUGAGAGACGAAAGCGAGGGGAGCAAAUGGGAUUAGAAACCCUGGUAGUCC
RNAcentral lists this ribosomal RNA (426 nucleotides) under uncultured bacterium. RNAcentral's name for it is "partial 16S ribosomal RNA". It matches the Rfam family "Bacterial small subunit ribosomal RNA", at positions 354 to 796 of the family's 1533-position model. The record is from RNAcentral.